Molecule: ribosomal RNA, 301 nt
Filed under: uncultured bacterium
Lineage: Bacteria
Description: partial 16S ribosomal RNA
Rfam family: Bacterial small subunit ribosomal RNA
Source: RNAcentral
CAGUAGCCGCGGUAAUACGGAGGGUGCAAGCGUUAAUCGGAAUUACUGGGCGUAAAGCGCACGCAGGCGGUCUGUCAAGUCAGAUGUGAAAUCCCCGGGCUUAACCUGGGAACUGCAUUUGAAACUGGCAGGCUAGAGUCUUGUAGAGGGGGGUAGAAUUCCAGGUGUAGCGGUGAAAUGCGUAGAGGUCUGGAGGAAUACCGAUGGCGAAGGCGGCCCCCUGGACAAAGACUGACGCUCAGGUGCGAAAGCGUGGGGAGCAAACAGGAUUAGAUACCCGAGUAGUCCCUGUCUCUUAUAC